CCCCCCUCAAGGUCGCACCUGGGGAGUUUUCAGUACUCUACCAGUCUCGACUACGGGAGGGAGAGUCAAGCAGAGGCAUUUCCAUUCCUAGCUUGGGCAGUGGCUAGUGAGCGGAAGGCAAUCUGUUACAAAU
Ornithorhynchus anatinus (platypus) is the source of this 133-nucleotide small nucleolar RNA. The record is from RefSeq and is a predicted model, not a curated record. NCBI's taxonomy places the organism in Eukaryota, Metazoa, Chordata, Mammalia, Monotremata, Ornithorhynchidae.